GAUGAACGCUAGCUACAGGCUUAACACAUGCAAGUCGAGGGACCGGCGCACGGGUGAGUAACGCGUAUCCAACCUUCCGUACACUCAGGGAUAGCCUUUCGAAAGAAAGAUUAAUACCUGAUGGUGUACGAUGGGGAUGCGUUCCAUUAGGUAGUAGGCGAGGUAACGGCCCACCUAGCCAACGAUGGAUAGGGGUUCUGAGAGGAAGGCCCCCCACAUUGGAACUGAGACACGGUCCAAACUCUACGGGAGGCAGCAGUGAGGAAUAUUGGUCAAUGGACGAGAGUCUGAACCAGCCAAGUAGCGUGAAGGAUGAAGGUCUACGGAUUGUAAACUUCUUUUAUAAGGGAAUAUGUACCUUAUGAAUAAGCAUCGGCUAACUCCGUGCCAGCAGCCGCGGUAAUACGGAGGAUGCGAGCGUUAUCCGGAUUUAUUGGGUUUAAAGGGAGCGCAGACGGGUCGUUAAGUCAGCUGUGAAAGUUUGGGGCUCAACCUUAAAAUUGCAGUUGAUACUGGCGUCCUUGAGUGCGGUUGAGGUGUGCGGAAUUUGUGGUGUAGCGGUGAAAUGCUUAGAUAUCACGAAGAACUCCGAUUGC
RNAcentral lists this ribosomal RNA (596 nucleotides) under uncultured bacterium. RNAcentral's name for it is "bacterial SSU rRNA". It matches the Rfam family "Bacterial small subunit ribosomal RNA", at positions 28 to 716 of the family's 1533-position model. The record is from RNAcentral.